GUUCCUAUGGAGCAGUUGUACUUUGCCUCGGCUCCACAAAAGGGUGGCUGUCAGACAAGUCAGUAUGGUGCAUGACCCGGAGGGAACUUGGAGGUGAUGGUGUUCACAUUCCCUGCUACUCUGCUGCUUUUCAGUCGUGGAGGCUGAGUGUUUGGAAGAUUCUGGUAUGGUUAUGGAUAUUAGAAGGGGAAAAUUUACAAACUAACCAUUACAACAUGAUAUGAUGGAUUUGCCAGUUUUAUCACAAAUGGGACGUGAUCCGAUUUUGAACAUGGAAGGAAACAGCCCUGGAGAGAAAAGUACAUGUUUGUGUGUGUGGACAAGUCUUCAGCCAAUUAUCAGGCUUCACAAACCACAAAUGCAGUCACACUGGGGAGAAACAGUGAAAAUGUGGUGAUUGUGGGGAGGAAUUAAUUUCCCCACCUGAGCCGGAAACUCAUCGACGUUGUCACCCCAGUAACAGGACAUUCACCUGCUCAGUGUGUGGGAAGAGACUCACUCAGUCAUUUAACCUGCUGCAACACCAGCUCGUUCACACUGAGGAGAGAUCAUUUCAAUGCCUGGACUGUGGAAGGUGCUGUAGAAGUUCCGGGACUGCUAUGCCAUCAAUGUGUUCAUACUGCAGACAGAUCUUUUAAAUGCCCAGACUGUGGAAAAUGCUUUAAAACUUCCAGGGAGAUGUCAUCCCAUCAAUUACCUCACAUUAAUGAGAGACCUUUUAAAUUCCCAGACUGUGAAAAAAACACAGAGUUCACACAUCUCAACAGCGAUUGGAUUUUGCAGUUCAUCACAUUCAGGACUGAAGGUAAAGUUUUAAUAUUUUGGAUAAAACUCACGUCAAUCAGCUUUAUGUCAAAAACAGUGUGGCAGGUCAUUGUACGAAUGUGAUCAUGGAGUACUUGGUAGAGUCAGCACGGCUUCAUCAAGGGGAAGUCAUGCCUGACAAAUCUUAGAAUUCUUUGAGGAGGUACUGAGCAAGUUAGGUAAA
This is a long non-coding RNA of Rhincodon typus (whale shark), 988 nucleotides long. RefSeq lists it as uncharacterized. The transcript is spliced from 3 exons. The record is from RefSeq and is a predicted model, not a curated record. Lineage: Eukaryota; Metazoa; Chordata; Chondrichthyes; Orectolobiformes; Rhincodontidae.